RNAcentral lists this ribosomal RNA (356 nucleotides) under uncultured bacterium. RNAcentral's name for it is "bacterial SSU rRNA". It matches the Rfam family "Bacterial small subunit ribosomal RNA", at positions 29 to 412 of the family's 1533-position model. The record is from RNAcentral.
AACGAACGCUGGCGGCAGGCCUAACACAUGCAAGUCGAACGCCGUAGCAAUACGGAGUGGCAGACGGGUGAGUAACGCGUGGGAACCUACCUUACGGUCGGGAAUAGCCCAGGGAAACUUGGGGUAAUACCGGAUACGCCCUUACGGGGAAAGAUUUAUCGCCCAAGGAUGAGCCCGCGUAGGAUUAGCUAGUUGGUGAGGUAAAGGCUCACCAAGGCGACGAUCCUUAGCUGGUCUGAGAGGAUGAUCAGCCACACUGGGACUGAGACACGGGGCCCAGACUCCUACGGGAGGCAGCAGUGGGAAGUAUUGGACAAUGGCGAAGCCUGAUCCAGCAAUGCCGCGUGAGUGAUGAA